This 167-nucleotide small RNA is filed under the name Arabidopsis thaliana (thale cress). RNAcentral's name for it is "ATSL052540". Lineage: Eukaryota; Viridiplantae; Streptophyta; Magnoliopsida; Brassicales; Brassicaceae. The record is from RNAcentral.
AAAAAAACAAAAAAUAUUAUGUUGCCGUCUGACACAAUAUAGGGGCACAAAGGUUAUUAUACUCAGCAGAUAACAGUUGAAAAUUCGAAGACUUAAUUUUGGAGUCUUCCGAGUAUAGACAAUGAUAAUACCCUUUUUUUUUGUCACAAGUGUGUUUUAUUUAGUAU